Molecule: long non-coding RNA, 315 nt
Organism: Schistocerca piceifrons (Central American locust)
Lineage: Eukaryota; Metazoa; Arthropoda; Insecta; Orthoptera; Acrididae
Exons: 3
Source: RefSeq, a predicted model, not a curated record
GCCGCCGCGACGCCCGCUACCGACGCCUGCAGAGCAAGGUCUACAACUUCCUGGAGCGGCCGCGCGGACUGCAGGCUAUCAUCUACCACAUGCUCGUUUUCUGCAUGGUCUUCACGUGCCUCGCCUUGAGCGUUUUCUCUACGAUACAAGAGUACGAAGAAGACGCCAGAGCCAUCCUUUUCUACAUGGAGUUCGUAGUCGUAAUUUGGUUUAGUAUAGAAUUUUGCCUGAGGCUGUGGUCCUCUGGUUGUAGAUCUAGGUACCAAGGCGCUAUUGGACGAUUAAAAUUCCUGAGGAGGCCUUUUUGCAUAAUAG